RNAcentral lists this ribosomal RNA (506 nucleotides) under uncultured bacterium. Its description in RNAcentral is "bacterial SSU rRNA". It matches the Rfam family "Bacterial small subunit ribosomal RNA", at positions 9 to 511 of the family's 1533-position model. The record is from RNAcentral.
GAGUUUGAUCAUGGCUCAGAUUGAACGCUGGCGGCAGGCCUAACACAUGCAAGUCGAGCGGUAGAGAGAAGCUUGCUUCUCUUGAGAGCGGCGGACGGGUGAGUAAUGCCUAGGAAUCUGCCUGGUAGUGGGGGAUAACGCUCGGAAACGGACGCUAAUACCGCAUACGUCCUACGGGAGAAAGCAGGGGACCUUCGGGCCUUGCGCUAUCAGAUGAGCCUAGGUCGGAUUAGCUAGUUGGUGAGGUAAUGGCUCACCAAGGCGACGAUCCGUAACUGGUCUGAGAGGAUGAUCAGUCACACUGGAACUGAGACACGGUCCAGACUCCUACGGGAGGCAGCAGUGGGGAAUAUUGGACAAUGGGCGAAAGCCUGAUCCAGCCAUGCCGCGUGUGUGAAGAAGGUCUUCGGAUUGUAAAGCACUUUAAGUUGGGAGGAAGGGCAGUAAUUAAUACUUUGCUGUUUUGACGUUACCGACAGAAUAAGCACCGGCUAACUCUGUGCCAG